RNAcentral lists this ribosomal RNA (560 nucleotides) under Moelleriella libera. RNAcentral describes it as "partial 18S ribosomal RNA". The stretch from base 329 to 560 matches the Rfam family "Eukaryotic small subunit ribosomal RNA", at positions 1179 to 1431 of the family's 1831-position model. Lineage: Eukaryota; Fungi; Ascomycota; Sordariomycetes; Hypocreales; Clavicipitaceae. The record is from RNAcentral.
AACAACCCUCAAACUGCCGGGGAACUCCUAAAGCCCUCGCUCCGGACGGCGCUGGGAAACCAGGGUCCGCUCACCAGGUUAACAACCUCGGGCAUCGGAAGCAACGCGGGGGAUGCUACAAUGGACGAUCCGCAGCCAAGCCCCUACGUGCGACAGCAUACGGGGAAGGUUCAGAGACUUGACGGGGGUGGGUCGGGGACGCAUGUCGGGACCCUGAAGGCGCUGGAACACCGGCACGAGCCGCCUACAUCGUCCACCGGCUUGAGGUAAAGUCCGUUGUCGCCAAAAGCGCGCCCCAUGCGAUGGAUCAUCGCUCGGCAACCGCAACGGGACUGCGGCUUAAUUUGACUCAACACGGGGAAACUCACCAGGUCCAGACACAAUGAGGAUUGACAGAUUGAGAGCUCUUUCUUGAUUUUGUGGGUGGUGGUGCAUGGCCGUUCUUAGUUGGUGGAGUGAUUUGUCUGCUUAAUUGCGAUAACGAACGAAACCUUAACCUGCUAAAUAGCCCGUAUUGCGCAGGCGAGUACGCCGGCUUCUUAGAGGGACUAUCGGCUCAA